RNAcentral lists this ribosomal RNA (432 nucleotides) under uncultured bacterium. Its description in RNAcentral is "partial 16S ribosomal RNA". It matches the Rfam family "Bacterial small subunit ribosomal RNA", at positions 29 to 507 of the family's 1533-position model. The record is from RNAcentral.
AGCGAACGCUGGCGGCAGGCCUAACACAUGCAAGUCGAACGAACUCUUCGGAGUUAGUGGCGGACGGGUGAGUAACACGUGGGAACGUGCCUUUAGGUUCGGAAUAACUCAGGGAAACUUGUGCUAAUACCGAAUGUGCCCUUCGGGGGAAAGAUUAUCGCCUUUAGAGCGGCCCGCGUCUGAUUAGCUAGUUGGUGAGGUAAAGGCUCACCAAGGCGACGAUCAGUAGCUGGUCUGAGAGGAUGAUCAGCCACAUUGGGACUGAGACACGGCCCAAACUCCUACGGGAGGCAGCAGUGGGGAAUCUUGCGCAAUGGGCGAAAGCCUGACGCAGCCAUGCCGCGUGAAUGAUGAAGGUCUUAGGAUUGUAAAAUUCUUUCACCGGGGACGAUAAUGACGGUACCCGGAGAAGAAGCCCCGGCUAACUUCGUG